Non-coding RNA from Aedes aegypti (yellow fever mosquito), 45 nucleotides. Lineage: Eukaryota; Metazoa; Arthropoda; Insecta; Diptera; Culicidae. The record is from Rfam.
CCUUUGGCCCUUUUCAGGGCCACCGACUGUGCUUGAAGGAGUUGG